GAGCAUCUCCAGGGUGUAUGGCUGGUGGGCGAGGAUCAUCGCGCCGGCCGAGGCCGCCGGUGGCGCCGCCGCCGGCGGCGCAGCGGCCCGGCUGGCGGCGCCGCGUCCCACGGGCACGUCGUGGUUGUGCUUGCCCUCGUAGGUGGUGAUGACGGCGCGGUUGUCGUGGGAGGCGCGCUCGACGUGCUUCCGCACGGGGCACCCCGGCGUGGUGCACUUGUAGUAGCUCCGCGGGUUGGGGUUCCCCUUCACCACCUUCUGCCCGUACUUGCGCCACCGGAACCCGUCGUCCAGGAUGUCGAUGUCGCUCAGCGUCUGCACCACCAGUCGGGGCUCGCGCACCGGCUUCCCGCCGCUGCCGGAGCUGCCCUCGUUCUCGCCGUCCUCCGCCUUCCAGCGCUUGGCGUCGGGCUCGUCGGCGUCGCUCCGGUGCGACCCGUUAUCGGCCUCGUCGUCGCCGAACGUCACCGACGAGUUCUCGGGCGUCGCGCCGGAGAGGGCCUGGUCCUCCGCCGCCGCCGCACCGGAGGAGUUGCGGCGCGUCGAGAGCGGCUUCGGGUGGUUGUGCGCGCCCUUGUACACGAUCUGCGUGAUGCGGCCGUCGGCCAGGGACCGCUCCACCUUCUUCUUCAUGGAGCAGCUGUUGUAGGUGCACUUGUAGUAGCUCCGCGGGUUCUCGCUCCCCUUCACCUGCUUCUGCCCGUACUUGCGCCAGUUGUAGCCGUCCUCGAGCUUGGUGUUGCUGUUGCCACCGCAGUUGUUGCCGCCGCUGCUGGCCUUGUUGCUCGCGGCGACGACGAUCUGCUUGUUCAUGGCUUCCACUUGCUGAUCCUGCACGAUCGCACAUACAUGAUGAGACUACGAGCUUGUGCUAACUGAUUAUGAAUGAAUCGAUUAUUAACGAUCUGCGUGUGUGUGUUUACAAUUUCGUACGUACCUUGAACGAUGGGAAGGAAGCUGUCUGCGUGGGCAUGGCGUUGGAGCCUGCCGUGUGGAAGGAGAAGUCGUUGAAGCCGCCCGGCGCCCGGGUCUCGUCCUGCUGGGACUGGGAGGCGAUCAGCUCGGCGGCCUGCUUCCAGUCGAACCUCUGCGCGGGGAUGGCGCCGGUGGUCGGGGACGCCAGGAGGUUGGAGCACGAGUUGAGGAGGACGGGCGAGUCGAGCAGCUCGGCGGGGCUGAGCCCGGCCGGGAUGGCGAAGUAGGAGGACGGCGACAUGGGCGGCGGCGAGAUGGGCAGGCUGGGCGGCUGGGCCGACUUGAACUUGGGCACGCCGCCCCUGGCGCCGCGGUGGAAAAGCCCCCUCGGCGACCGAUCCUGGCUUUCGGCGCCGAGCAUGUCUCCGGAGCCCGAGAGCAGCUCGGUGAAGGAGGUGAUGAAGGGCGG
RNAcentral lists this long non-coding RNA (1384 nucleotides) under Setaria italica (foxtail millet). RNAcentral's name for it is "long non-coding RNA (SITA_LNC002249)". The record is from RNAcentral. Lineage: Eukaryota; Viridiplantae; Streptophyta; Magnoliopsida; Poales; Poaceae.